AGAGUUUGAUCAUGGCUCAGAUUGAACGCUGGCGGUAUGCUUAACACAUGCAAGUCGAACGGUAACAGGAUUAGCUUGCUAAUCGCUGACGAGUGGCGGACGGGUGAGUAACGCGUAGGGAUCUGCCUGACAAUGGGGGAUAGCCCGGUGAAAACCGGAUUAAUACCGCAUACGUCCUAAGGGAGAAAGGGUGCCACUUCUUGAAAGCACUCGUUGUCAGAUGAACCUGCGUUGGAUUAGCUAGUUGGUAGGGUAAUGGCCUACCAAGGCGACGAUCCAUAGCUGGUCUGAGAGGAUGAUCAGCCACACUGGGACUGAGACACGGCCCAGACUCCUACGGGAGGCAGCAGUGGGGAAUAUUGCGC
This 365-nucleotide ribosomal RNA is filed under the name uncultured marine bacterium. RNAcentral's name for it is "bacterial SSU rRNA". It matches the Rfam family "Bacterial small subunit ribosomal RNA", at positions 8 to 369 of the family's 1533-position model. The record is from RNAcentral.